Molecule: ribosomal RNA, 1380 nt
Filed under: Clostridioides difficile
Lineage: Bacteria; Bacillati; Bacillota; Clostridia; Peptostreptococcales; Peptostreptococcaceae
Description: bacterial LSU rRNA
Rfam family: Bacterial large subunit ribosomal RNA
Source: RNAcentral
AAGUAGGCAAAUCCGCUUUGAUAAUGCUGGGAUGUGAUGGGGAGCGAAAUUUAGUAGCGAAGUAGCUGAUUUCACACUGUCAAGAAAAGUCUCUAUCGAGGUUAAAGGUACCCGUACCGCAAACCGACACAGGUGGGUGAGGAGAGUAUCCUAAGGCCAGCGAGAGAACUGUUGUUAAGGAACUCGGCAAAAUGACCCCGUAACUUAGGGAUAAGGGGUGCCACCAUCAGGUGGCCGCAGAGAAUAGGCCCAAGCGACUGUUUACCAAAAACAUAGGUUUCUGCUAAGUCGCAAGACGAUGUAUAGGAGCUGACGCCUGCCCGGUGCUGGAAGGUUAAGGGGAUCUGUUAGAGCAAUCGAAGCAGUGAACUUAAGCCCCAGUAAACGGCGGCCGUAACUAUAACGGUCCUAAGGUAGCGAAAUUCCUUGUCGGGUAAGUUCCGACCCGCACGAAAGGCGUAACGAUUUGGGCACUGUCUCAACAACAGACUCGGUGAAAUUGUAAUUCCGGUGAAGAUGCCGGAUACCUGCGACAGGACGGAAAGACCCCAUGGAGCUUUACUGUAGCUUGACAUUGGGUCUUGGUACUACAUGUACAGGAUAGGUGGGAGGCUUUGAAACCAGGACGCCAGUUUUGGCGGAGCCAUCCUUGGGAUACCACCCUUGUAGUACUGGGACUCUAACCAUAGGCCAUGAAUCUGGUCUUGGGACACUGUCAGGUGGGCAGUUUGACUGGGGCGGUCGCCUCCCAAAAGGUAACGGAGGCGCUCAAAGGUUCUCUCAGUACGGUCGGAAAUCGUACGUAGAGUGUAAAGGCAAAAGAGAGCUUGAUUGCAAGACAUACAGGUCGAGCAAGGAUGAAAAUCGGACUUAGUGAUCCGGUGGUUCUGCGUGGAAGGGCCAUCGCUCAACGGAUAAAAGCUACCCUGGGGAUAACAGGCUUAUCUCCCCCAAGAGUCCACAUCGACGGGGAGGUUUGGCACCUCGAUGUCGGCUCAUCACAUCCUGGGGCUGUAGUAGGUCCCAAGGGUUGGGCUGUUCGCCCAUUAAAGUGGUACGCGAGCUGGGUUCAGAACGUCGUGAGACAGUUCGGUCCCUAUCCGUCGCAGGCGUAGGAAAUUUGAGAAGACCUGUCCUUAGUACGAGAGGACCGGGAUGGACGUACCUCUGGUGUACCAGUUGUCCUGCCAAGGGCAUGGCUGGGUAGCUAUGUACGGAAUGGAUAAGCGCUGAAAGCAUCUAAGCGCGAAGCCAACUUCAAGAUAAGAUUUCCCACCGCAAGGGUAAGACCCCAGAAAGACUAUCUGGUUGAUAGGUCGAAGGUGUAAGUGCAGCAAUGUAUUUAGCUUAUCGAUACUAAUAGGUCGAGGACUUGACCAA